Molecule: microRNA precursor, 127 nt
Filed under: Myotis davidii
Lineage: Eukaryota; Metazoa; Chordata; Mammalia; Chiroptera; Vespertilionidae
Description: mir-9193 microRNA precursor family
Rfam family: mir-9193 microRNA precursor family
Source: Rfam by way of RNAcentral
CAUGCACCGGUGGGGUCCCUCAGCCUGGCCUGCACCCUCUCACAAUCCAGGACCCCUUGGGGGAUGUCAGAGAGCCAGUUUCAGCCCGAUCCCUGCAGGCCAGGCAGAGGGACUCCACUGGUGCACG